UACGGAGGGUGCAAGCGUUAUCCGGAUUCACUGGGUUUAAAGGGUGCGUAGGCGGGGCGGUAAGUCCGUGGUGAAAUCUCUGAGCUUAACUCAGAAACUGCCGUGGAGACUAUCGGUCUUGAAUCUCGUGGAGGUGAGUGGAAUAUGUCAUGUAGCGGUGAAAUGCUUAGAGAUGACAUAGAACACCAAUUGCGAAGGCAGCUCACUACACGAACAUUGACGCUGAGGCACGAAAGCGUGGGGAUCAAACAGG
Molecule: ribosomal RNA, 253 nt
Filed under: uncultured bacterium
Lineage: Bacteria
Description: partial 16S ribosomal RNA
Rfam family: Bacterial small subunit ribosomal RNA
Source: RNAcentral